RNAcentral lists this ribosomal RNA (253 nucleotides) under uncultured bacterium. RNAcentral describes it as "partial 16S ribosomal RNA". It matches the Rfam family "Bacterial small subunit ribosomal RNA", at positions 524 to 776 of the family's 1533-position model. The record is from RNAcentral.
UACAGAGGGUGCGAGCGUUAAUCGGAAUUACUGGGCGUAAAGCGCGCGUAGGCGGCUUGUUAAGUCGGAUGUGAAAUCCCUGGGCUCAACCUAGGAACUGCAUUCGAUACUGGCAAGCUAGAGUGUGGGAGAGGAAGGUAGAAUUCCAGGUGUAGCGGUGAAAUGCGUAGAGAUCUGGAGGAAUACCGAUGGCGAAGGCAGCCUUCUGGCCUAACACUGACGCUGAGGUGCGAAAGCAUGGGGAGCAAACAGG